This 252-nucleotide ribosomal RNA is filed under the name uncultured bacterium. RNAcentral describes it as "partial 16S ribosomal RNA". It matches the Rfam family "Bacterial small subunit ribosomal RNA", at positions 524 to 776 of the family's 1533-position model. The record is from RNAcentral.
UACGUAGGUCCCGAGCGUUGUCCGGAUUUAUUGGGCGUAAAGCGAGCGCAGGUGGUUUAUUAAGUCUGGUGUAAAAGGCAGUGGCUCAACCAUUGUAUGCAUUGGAAACUGGUAGACUUAAGUGCUUGAGAGGAGAGUGGAAUUCCAUGUGUAGCGGUGAAAUGCGUAGAUAUAUGGAGGAACACCGGUGGCGAAAGCGGCUCUCUGGCCUGUAACUGACACUGAGGCUCGAAAGCGUGGGGAGCAAACAGG